GACGAACGCUGGCGGCGUGCCUAAUACAUGCAAGUAGAACGCACAGUUUAUACCGUAGCUUGCUACACCAUAGACUGUUAGUUGCGAACGGGUGAGUAACGCGUAGGUAACCUGCCUGGUAGCGGGGGAUAACUAUUGGAAACGAUAGCUAAUACCGCAUAAUAUUGAUUAUUGCAUGAUAAUUGAUUGAAAGAUGCUAUUGCAUCACUACCAGAUGUACCUGCGUUGUAUUAGCUAUUAGGUGAGGUAACGGCUCACCUAGGCGACGAUACAUAUCCGACCAGAGAGGGGGAUCGGCCAAACUGGGACUGAGACACGGCCCAGACUCCUACGGGAGGCAGAAGGAGGGAAUCUUCGGCAAAGGAAGAAAGUCUGAACGAGGAACGACGCGUGAGUGAAGAAUGUUUUCGGAUCGUAAAGCUCUGUUGUAAGAGAAGAACGGGAGGGAGAGUGGAAAGUUCACACUGUGACGGUAUCUUACCAGAAAGGGACGGCUAACUACGUG
This 505-nucleotide ribosomal RNA is filed under the name uncultured bacterium. RNAcentral's name for it is "partial 16S ribosomal RNA". It matches the Rfam family "Bacterial small subunit ribosomal RNA", at positions 28 to 507 of the family's 1533-position model. The record is from RNAcentral.